This 330-nucleotide ribosomal RNA is filed under the name uncultured eukaryote. RNAcentral's name for it is "partial 18S ribosomal RNA". It matches the Rfam family "Eukaryotic small subunit ribosomal RNA", at positions 1470 to 1796 of the family's 1831-position model. The record is from RNAcentral.
CCCUUAGAUGUUCUGGGCCGCACGCGCGCUACACUGAUGCAUUCAACGGGUCUAAAACCUGGUCUGAUAGGGCUGGGUAAUCUUUUGAAUGUGCAUCGUGAUUGGGAUAGAUGAUUGCAAUUCUUCAUCUUCAACGAGGAAUGCCUAGUAAACGCAAGUCAUCAGCUUGCAUUGAUUACGUCCCUGCCCUUUGUACACACCGCCCGUCGCUCCUACCGAUUGAAUGUUCCGAUGAAUACCAUGGACUGAGAGUAUGAAUGGGUUCGCCUAUUUCUGCUUCUCGGGAAGUGGAGUAAAUCUUAACAUUUAGAGGAAGGAGAAGUCGUAACA